CCAGACUCCUACGGGAGGCAGCAGUGGGGGAUAUUGGACAAUGGGGGAAACCCUGAUCCAGCGAUGCCGCGUGAGGGAAGAAGGUUUUCGGAUUGUAAACCUCUGUGGACAGGGACGAUAAUGACGGUACCUGACCAAGAAGCCCCGGCUAACUACGUGCCAGCAGCCGCGGUAAUACGUAGGGGGCAAGCGUUAUCCGGAAUUACUGGGUGUAAAGGGAGCGUAGACGGCAGGGCAAGUCUGGAGUGAAAGCCCGGGGCCCAACCCCGGGACUGCUUUGGAAACUGCCAUGCUAGAGUGCUGGAGAGGUAAGCGGAAUUCCUAGUGUAGCGGUGAAAUGCGUAGAUAUUAGGAGGAACACCAGUGGCGAAGGCGGCUUACUGGACAGUAACUGACGUUGAGGCUCGAAAGCGUGGGGAGCAAACAGGAUUAGAUACCCCAGUACUU
RNAcentral lists this ribosomal RNA (447 nucleotides) under uncultured bacterium. RNAcentral's name for it is "bacterial SSU rRNA". It matches the Rfam family "Bacterial small subunit ribosomal RNA", at positions 331 to 795 of the family's 1533-position model. The record is from RNAcentral.